GAAUGAGCACCUGCAAAGGAAAGUCCACACUGACUGGAGAUGCCUCCGGUGGGGACCCUCCGACGGUCAAGUCAGAGAGGAGACUAGGCAACAGUAGAGAGGAAUCGGGGGACUCAGCGAUGGAGAGAGGAAGAGAGAAAGAGAGAAAGGAACCCCCCCUUAAGCUGCUUCCUUACCUCGUUUUAUAGUAGGAGGUGGUAUGGUCCCGCCGUCGGUGAUGUUGACAACUGAAGAGUUGUCAAAUCGUCGGGGGUUGUCAUGUCGUUGAUGAGCUGACAGAUCCUAGGAAUUAAUUCGCAUCCUUGGCAGGACAGCGCCCCAGGUU
RNAcentral lists this long non-coding RNA (325 nucleotides) under Elaeis guineensis (African oil palm). RNAcentral's name for it is "long non-coding RNA (EGUI_LNC008903)". The record is from RNAcentral. Lineage: Eukaryota; Viridiplantae; Streptophyta; Magnoliopsida; Arecales; Arecaceae.